Long non-coding RNA from Drosophila montana, 646 nucleotides. RefSeq lists it as uncharacterized. The record is from RefSeq and is a predicted model, not a curated record. NCBI's taxonomy places the organism in Eukaryota, Metazoa, Arthropoda, Insecta, Diptera, Drosophilidae. The transcript is spliced from 3 exons.
AAAAAAUCAACUUGAAAAGCAAAAUGAAUUAUUCUACUGAAUAUCUAAGAUACCUUGGCUGUAGACGCUAAAGGCGAUCUCAAGUCCAGGUAUUCAUUUUUAUAAAGGUACUUACCCAAAAAUGCUCGAUUAUUUUAUUGCCAUUUAUUACUAGGAGAGCGACAAGACGGACUCGCAUCACUAAAAAAAAAACGGAGAGCGAUGUUAAAACAAGAGCAACAGAAAGGCAAAGGAUUUAAAGUAGAGCAUGAGAGAGAAUGCCUGAGAGAGUAAAUAAGGGAAAGAAAGAGAGCGCAAGAGAGAAAAUAAGGGAGAAAGACAGAGAGAAAGACUUGGCAGAGAAUCGCAUAGUAAGGCGAUGUGUGAAAAAAUGUUUCUCUAUUUGCAGCGUUGCGGGGAGAGUAAACAAAAAAGUGAAGUUUACUUGGUAUGCAUUCUGUUUCAAAGAACUUACAAGGCGGAUAUUACCCGGCCUUGUACGGCGAGAGAGAGGCAAAGAGAUAGAGAUAGAGCAUUUGGCAGCGUAUUUUUUCACAUUGGAAAUUUGUUUAUGGGCAAGGGCAAGACCGAAAGAAAAAAAUAAAUUAACUUGGAAAUAGUUUUUCAAUUCCUCCUUAAUUCCAGCAAAUGUCAUAUAUAUAAGAAA